This 479-nucleotide ribosomal RNA is filed under the name uncultured Planctomycetota bacterium. RNAcentral's name for it is "bacterial SSU rRNA". It matches the Rfam family "Bacterial small subunit ribosomal RNA", at positions 364 to 833 of the family's 1533-position model. Lineage: Bacteria; Pseudomonadati; Planctomycetota. The record is from RNAcentral.
UUUCGCAAUGCCCGAAAGGGUGACGAAGCGACGCCGCGUGCGGGAAGAAGGCCUUCGGGUUGUAAACCGCUGUCGGGAGUUAAGAAAUGUAAGGAUGUUAAUAGCAUCUUUGCUUGACUAAGGCUCCGGAGGAAGCCACGGCUAACUCUGUGCCAGCAGCCGCGGUAAUACAGAGGCGGCAAGCGUUGUUCGGAAUUAUUGGGCGUAAAGAGCACGUAGGCGGCUAUGUAAGUCGGUUGUGAAGGCCUUCCGCUCAACGGGAGAACAGCAUCCGAUACUGCAUGGCUUGAGUGCGGGAGGGGAGAGUGGAACUUCUGGUGGAGCGGUGAAAUGCGUAGAUAUCAGAAGGAACGCCGGCGGCGAAAGCGGCUCUCUGGCCCAUAACUGACGCUGAGUGUGCGAAAGCUAGGGGAGCAAACGGGAUUAGAUACCCCGGUAGUCCUAGCCGUAAACGAUGGGCACUAAGUAGAGGGGUUUUA